GGUGCUAACGUCCGUCGUGAAGAGGGAAACAACCCAGACCGCCAGCUAAGGUCCCAAAGUCAUGGUUAAGUGGGAAACGAUGUGGGAAGGCCCAGACAGCCAGGAUGUUGGCUUAGAAGCAGCCAUCAUUUAAAGAAAGCGUAAUAGCUCACUGGUCGAGUCGGCCUGCGCGGAAGAUGUAACGGGGCUAAACCAUGCACCGAAGCUGCGGCAGCGAACGUAUCACCCAAGACAACUUUACGGAGUUGACGAUUGACGGAGCGAAGCGACGUCAAAGCGUUCAUUAAAGUCGAGUUGGCUUAGGGAUACGUUCGUUGGGUAGGGGAGCGUUCUGUAAGCCGUUGAAGGUGGCCUGUGAGGGUUGCUGGAGGUAUCAGAAGUGCGAAUGCUGACAUAAGUAACGAUAAAGCGGGUGAAAAGCCCGCUCGCCGGAAGACCAAGGGUUCCUGUCCAACGUUAAUCGGGGCAGGGUGAGUCGACCCCUAAGGCGAGGCCGAAAGGCGUAGUCGAUGGGAAACGGGUUAAUAUUCCCGUACUUGGUGUUACUGCGAAGGGGGGACGGAGAAGGCUAUGUUGGCCGGGCGACGGUUGUCCCGGUUUAAGCGUGUAGGUGUGUGUUCCAGGUAAAUCCGGUUCACUUUAACACUGAGGCGUGACGACGAGGCACUACGGUGCUGAAGCAACAAAUGCCCUGCUUCCAGGAAAAGCCUCUAAGCAUCAGGUAACAUCAAAUCGUACCCCAAACCGACACAGGUGGUCAGGUAGAGAAUACCAAGGCGCUUGAGAGAACUCGGGUGAAGGAACUAGGCAAAAUGGUGCCGUAACUUCGGGAGAAGGCACGCUGACACGUAGGUGAAGUGAUUUACUCAUGGAGCUGAAGUCAGUCGAAGAUACCAGCUGGCUGCAACUGUUUAUUAAAAACACAGCACUGUGCAAACACGAAAGUGGACGUAUACGGUGUGACGCCUGCCCGGUGCCGGAAGGUUAAUUGAUGGGGUCAGCGCAAGCGAAGCUCCUGAUCGAAGCCCCGGUAAACGGCGGCCGUAACUAUAACGGUCCUAAGGUAGCGAAAUUCCUUGUCGGGUAAGUUCCGACCUGCACGAAUGGCGUAAUGAUGGCCAGGCUGUCUCCACCCGAGACUCAGUGAAAUUGAACUCGCUGUGAAGAUGCAGUGUACCCGCGGCAAGACGGAAAGACCCCGUGAACCUUUACUAUAGCUUGACACUGAACAUUGAGCCUUGAUGUGUAG
Molecule: ribosomal RNA, 1249 nt
Filed under: Salmonella enterica subsp. enterica serovar Stanley
Lineage: Bacteria; Pseudomonadati; Pseudomonadota; Gammaproteobacteria; Enterobacterales; Enterobacteriaceae
Description: partial 23S ribosomal RNA
Rfam family: Bacterial large subunit ribosomal RNA
Source: RNAcentral